AUCGCUUCUCGGCCUUAUGGCUAAGAUCAAAGUGUGGUAUCUGUUCUUAUCAGCUUAACAUCUGAUAGAUCCUCCAUCCGAGGACAACAAAUGUUAAGGGGGGAAGCUGGUCUAGAAUUUUGAAAAAAUCGAAAAAUUUUUUUUUGUCUUAAAAGGUGCUUUAGGGUCUUAGAAAUAAUAUACCAAAUGAGGGAUGCCAGCA
Molecule: small nuclear RNA, 202 nt
Organism: Anastrepha obliqua
Lineage: Eukaryota; Metazoa; Arthropoda; Insecta; Diptera; Tephritidae
Product: U2 spliceosomal RNA
Exons: 1
Source: RefSeq, a predicted model, not a curated record